CUUCAGGCGCAACUUGCGUUCAAAGACUCGAUGGUUCACGGGAUUCUGCAAUUCACACCAAGUAUCGCAUUUCGCUACGUUCUUCAUCGAUGCAAGAGCCGAGAUAUCCGUUGCCGAGAGUCUUUUGGAUACGCGUUUCGCAGCGCCGCCCACACAAGCACCG
This 163-nucleotide ribosomal RNA is filed under the name Ammopiptanthus nanus. RNAcentral's name for it is "5.8S ribosomal RNA". The record is from RNAcentral. Lineage: Eukaryota; Viridiplantae; Streptophyta; Magnoliopsida; Fabales; Fabaceae.